AUUGAACGCUGGCGGCAUGCCUUACACAUGCAAGUCGAACGGCAGCACGGGAGCAAUCCUGGUGGCGAGUGGCGAACGGGUGAGUAAUAUAUCGGAACGUGCCCACGUCGUGGGGGAUAACGUAGCGAAAGCUACGCUAAUACCGCAUACGAUCUAUGGAUGAAAGCGGGGGAUCGCAAGACCUCGCGCGAUUGGAGCGGCCGAUAUCAGAUUAGGUAGUUGGUGAGGUAAAGGCGUCACCAAGCCGACGAUCUGUAGCUGGUCUGAGAGGACGACCAGCCACACUGGGACUGAGACACGGCCCAGACUCCUACGGGAGGCAGCAGUGGGGAAUUUUUGGGACAAUGGGCGCAAGCCUGAUCCAGCAAUGCCGCGUGCAGGAUGAAGGCCUUC
This 393-nucleotide ribosomal RNA is filed under the name uncultured bacterium. RNAcentral's name for it is "bacterial SSU rRNA". It matches the Rfam family "Bacterial small subunit ribosomal RNA", at positions 30 to 419 of the family's 1533-position model. The record is from RNAcentral.